CGGCGGAGCAUGUGGAUUAAUUCGAUGCAACGCGAAGAACCUUACCUGGGUUUGACAUGCGCCAGACGCGUUCAGAGAUGGGUUCCUUGGGGCAGGUGUGACGAGCGCAACCCUCGUUCCAUGUUGCCAGCGGGAUGUCAAGUAUCAUGCCCCUUAUGUCCAGGCUUCAUACAUGGCCAGUACAAGGGCUGCGAGACCGUGAGGUGGAGCGUCCCUUAAAGCUGGUCUCAGUUCGGAUCGGGGUGCAACUCGACCCCGUGAAGUUGGAGUCGCUAGUAAUCGAGAUCAGCAACGCUGCGGUGAAUACGUUCCCGGGCCUUGUACACACCGCCGUCACGUCACGAAAGUUGGUAACACCCGAAGCCGAUGGCCUAACCCGCUUGCGGGAGGGAGUUGUCGAAGUGGGACUGGCGAUUGGGACGAAGUCGUACAAGGU
Molecule: ribosomal RNA, 436 nt
Filed under: uncultured actinomycete
Lineage: Bacteria; Bacillati; Actinomycetota; Actinomycetes; Actinomycetales
Description: bacterial SSU rRNA
Rfam family: Bacterial small subunit ribosomal RNA
Source: RNAcentral